Molecule: ribosomal RNA, 848 nt
Filed under: uncultured bacterium
Lineage: Bacteria
Description: bacterial SSU rRNA
Rfam family: Bacterial small subunit ribosomal RNA
Source: RNAcentral
CAAGUCGAACGGGGUCCAUGAGAGCUUGCUCUCGGACGACCUAGUGGCGAACGGGUGAGUAACACGUGAGAAACCUGCCUCGGAGUGGGGAAUAACUCGGGGAAACUCGAGCUAAUACCGCAUACCUUCACAUGAUCGCAUGGUCGAGUGAAGAAAGAAUUUCGCUCUGAGAGGGUCUCGCGGCCUAUCAGCUUGUUGGUGGGGUAACGGCCCACCAAGGCAACGACGGGUAGCUGGUUUGAGAGAACGAUCAGCCACACUGGGACUGAGACACGGCCCAGACUCCUACGGGAGGCAGCAGUGGGGAAUCUUGCGCAAUGGGCGAAAGCCUGACGCAGCAACGCCGCGUGCGGGAUGACGGCCUUCGUGGUUGUAAACCGCUUUCAGCAGGGACGAAAAUGACGGUACCUGCAGAAGAAGCCCCGGCUAACUACGUGCCAGCAGCCGCGGUAAUACGUAGGGGGCAAGCGUUGUCCGGAAUCAUUGGGCGUAAAGAGCUCGUAGGCGGUUCAGUAAGUCGGGUGUGAAAGCUCCGAGCUCAACUCGGAGAGGCCACUCGAUACUGCUGUGACUAGAAUCCAGUAGGGGAGUGUGGAACUCCUGGUGUAGCGGUGAAAUGCGCAGAUAUCAGGAAGAACACCAGCGGCGAAGGCGGCACUCUGGGCUGGUAUUGACGCUGAGGAGCGAAAGUGUGGGUAGCAAACAGGAUUAGAUACCCCGGUAGUCCACACCGUAAACGUUGGGCACUAGGUGUGGGGAGGAUCAACCCUUUCCGUGCCGUAGCUAACGCAUUAAGUGCCCCGCCUGGGGAGUACGGCCGCAAGGCUAAAACUCAAAGGAAUUGACGG